Molecule: long non-coding RNA, 3157 nt
Organism: Lagopus leucura (white-tailed ptarmigan)
Lineage: Eukaryota; Metazoa; Chordata; Aves; Galliformes; Phasianidae
Exons: 6
Source: RefSeq, a predicted model, not a curated record
AAGAACCAGCUGUUCUUAUUUAUAGAGUAACACUCAAUGCUGCGAAAUGGGUCGCCUGAUCCUCCUCUGCCACCGACACAGAACAGCACACCUGAAGGAGACAAAGGAGGUUUCCAGAGAGCUGGCAGAGAAAAUAGAGAUAAAAUUCUACAGCAGAAUAGACGGAAGGACUCUGGGUGUUCAUCCAAGUGACCCUGUGAUGCCAUUACAGGUUUCUCUCAGCAAUGAACACUUAAGAAACCUAGGGGAUUAAACUGCACACUCCUUUCGGAGCCUACAGAAACCGAGUAACAUAACUCGAUGCUGAUAUUCCCAAGGCCCAACCUGCUUGCACUGUCAAUAACCGUGAAUACAAGACGAAGCACCAACUGCUAUAAACAUUUUUCUUCUUAAAAUCCUCCUCAGUAAAAGCAGCUUACACAGAAGCAAAUCAGUGAUGCCCGCCCUACCUGUGCGAGAAUUUCAUCCAGCCACGUGGCAUGAUGCUGCGGAUUGGCUAGCAGCCACUUGAUAGCAGCACUGUAAACCUGCUUUUCGUUUUCAAUGUUCAGGUCGCUGGAGGACAACAGUUUAUGGAGGUGCUGAGGUGAGACACUCACAAAGUCUUCACAUUCCACCACCUCUGUGAAAUGUUCACAAGCGUACUGGUCGGCCAUGUCCAUCAGGUCAAUGCGGUUGUGGCUCUCUGCAAAUGACCUGACUGCCAGGCAGUUGGAGGGAUGGAAGUGCAGCUUCAUGUAUUCGCAGCACGCCUUUGCUACCAGUUCCACCUGAAGAAUGCAAGCAGCAUACAGGAGUGGCUGGACAUUAUCCACUGUCAGCGUCAGCCGGGAGGAGUAGACAAACUUCACGAGGUCUUCUAUCGCAUCGCCAUCAAAGUCCCUGAUCUCAAUCAACGUCUGCUUGGCUUCAGCCAUUUCUGAAAGAAACAUGGCUCUGAAGUAAGGUAUAACACAUGCCAGCACCAGUUUGUGGCAGGAGAUGAGCUUUGUACCAACCUGAGAAAAAGAGAACAAAACUGUUUAACUGAAACAUUAGUUUCAGUAAUUUUCUUCCAGCUAUAAGAGACAGCUAAGCUGGAAAGGUAGACUUCUGGGCCCAAUAUACAUUGAGCUUCUGUAUUUUGCUGAAACAAAUGAACUCUGUCUCCCUCACACUGCUGACGUUAGACCAGGGCAUCCCAAGCAGAUUUCACUUGUAACCUGACCACCAGAGUAGGACAAGGUUGUAGCAGAAAGAAGCAGUACUAAGAAACUAAGAAAUACUUAAUGUUUGUAGGUGCUGGCAGCCACAGCUGCAAAUGCUAGUUAUAAAUUUCCUGUGAUCAUGAUGUAAGUAAUAAAAAGCUGAGCUGAAAAGAAUGCAUUUAAAAUAACACUGUGCAAGAAUAACAAAACUGGUUUCCUCCUUUUUGUUUCCUCUUUGAUCAGUUGUAGAACAAUGUGAUUGAGGGUUUUUUUAUUUCCCAGGAGAACACUGAAAGUUAGAUUUGUUACAGAAAUCCUGUUUGCCCACAAAAGAUCUAGCACAGAAACACAGAAUGCAAAACUACGGACAAAAUUUGGGAUCAAAGUGUAUGAACAGAGAGGCUGCAAGGAGCUGGAAGCACACAGAAAUGACAUAGUAGAAAAUAAAUCAACCAUGAGAACUUCCUUACAGGACAAACUGGGUGAGGUGAGUCAUGUACUUGCUCUCUUGGAUUGUCAGUAUCUUAAUUGCUUACAUUUUAGUUGUGACCUUCGUAAAUGACGAGAAAUCUAAGAGCUUAUGUAGAAAUGCCUCAAACAUUCUGUUGCUUCCAUACCCCUGCACAAACUCACUGCCAUCUCCAACGCAUUUAUAACUUAGUCUUCAGAUUGUUAAACACAAUGAAUGUGGGUGGUCUUUGUCACCUUCAGUGUAACAUCGCAGAGCUCUCCAGCCUCAAAGAAGUGAAGAAGAGAGCUGUGGAAAUCUUUCCAAGCCUCGUUUGCUUCGAAUACAAAGAUAUCAUCUUCACCAUCACCGCUGGAAGAUCGAGUUUGCUGCUGCUGUGGUCGCCUUUUUCCCUUCACUGGAUGUUGUUUUGCCUGCUCUGGGACCAUGGAUUCUGAAGCCAUUGGUUGUUUCGUCUUUUGCAGCGUGAACUGUCAAAUAUUCCCACCAAGACAAAGUCCAGCCCAUGAGGAGUCAGUCCUGAAAUGUAGCUAAGUUCUUUUCAUCUUCCUAUCUAAAAGCACACACACACAAAAAAAAAGACAGAGGAGAUAUCAAGUACUGUCAGUAUCCACCAUCAGACUACAUUCUAAAAUUACUACCUCUGAUCUUAUUCAGGGGAGCGGGAAGAGGGAGAGGGGAAAAGAGACCCACAGCAAAUCAUAUGCAGGUACCUUUGGGAAAAGCCUUUAUGAACUUGCUCCCCACAGUUGUUGAAAAAAGAUAUGAAGGAGGAAAGGCAGUGACGUGUCUUCUGCCAUUCCUCACCGAACAUCUGUGGAUGGCAGAUGAGCAGAAUGCCCACGGAUCACAGGCAGAUGGGCUUCUCUCCUCAUCUCAUCAUGGCUGCCAGAGACAGAGUGCUGAUUUGACCCCAACAGGAUGCCCAUAUAAAAUGAAGCUGCUGGAGAUGGUCUGAGCAAUCAUCUGGAUGAAAAGAGCACAGAUGUGGACUGAUACAUUUAGUACUGGUUCUGCAGGAGCAGAAACUGGAGGCCUUGGUCCCCUCACACAGAGGAAAUCAGUUACAGACACCACACGUACCAGGAAACUCUCAGUAUAAAUCAUGGCAGUAUCAACUAAAGGGGAUGGGAGCAUCAGCCACAAGCAGGACAGGAAUGUCACUCGUGAAACGAAGGAAGGAAACAAGGAAAGGAUCCUCCCCUGUGACACUGACCUGGGAGAGGAUUGUGCUCCUGCCUCCGCUGCCACAAGCAGAAAGAUGCAUCCAUGAUACAAGAAACAAAAGGGCUCUGUAACAACCGCAGUGAGGAAGUGCUCAAAUGAGGGGUUCUGUGACACAGGUAGAUCCAGCGCUUGUUUAUCGGUCCCAGUACUGAAGUCAGAAAAAUAAGAAGCAGCCCAAUGUCCAGGAGAAUUAAAGAUACAGAAAGAGCGGUGAUGCAGUGACACAGGCUGCCCAGGAAGAAGGUGCAGUCACUGUCCUUGGAGGUGUUCAAGA